Molecule: ribosomal RNA, 206 nt
Filed under: uncultured bacterium
Lineage: Bacteria
Description: partial 16S ribosomal RNA
Rfam family: Bacterial small subunit ribosomal RNA
Source: RNAcentral
AACGAACGUUGGCGGCGUGGAUGAGGCAUGCAAGUCGAACGCGAAAGCCGGCAAGGCAAGUAGCGUGGCGGACGGGUGCGUAACGCGUAGUCAAGUUACCUUCGAGACGGGGAUAACCGCGGGAAACCGCGGCUAAUACCGGAUGGUCCAGCGUGGUUGCAUGAUCGUGCUGGUAAAAUGGGGGGAGGUCUUUCGGUACCGCCUUU